Dioscorea cayenensis subsp. rotundata (Guinea yam) is the source of this 107-nucleotide small nucleolar RNA. The record is from RefSeq and is a predicted model, not a curated record. NCBI's taxonomy places the organism in Eukaryota, Viridiplantae, Streptophyta, Magnoliopsida, Dioscoreales, Dioscoreaceae.
AGACCAUGUUGUGGACAUCGCCUCAAAAGGUCUUUGUAUCUUUCCCAAGCUUCAUAUAAUGUCUCCACAUCUUGUUGACUGAAAGAAGCUAUAUCAUGUCGAAGUUU